GACGAACGCUGGCGGCGUGCUUAACACAUGCAAGUCGAGCGAACAGACGAGGAUCUUGCUCCUCUGACGUUAGCGGCGGACGGGUGAGUAACACGUGGAUAACCUACCUAUAAGACUGGGAUAACUUCGGGAAACCGGAGCUAAUACCGGAUAAUAUAUUGAACCGCAUGGUUCAAUAGUGAAAGACGGUUUUGCUGGCACUUAUAGAUGGAUCCGCGCCGCAUUGGUUAGUUGGGAAGGUAACGGCUUACCAAGGCGACGAUGCGUAGCAGACCUGAGAGGGUGAUCGGCCACCCGGGAAGUGAGACAGGUUCCCGACUCCUACGGGAGGCAGCAGUAGGGAAUCUUCCGCAAUGGGCGAGAGCCUGACGGAGCACCGCGGCGUGAGUGCUGAAGGUCUUCGGCUCGUAAAGCUCUGUUAUUAGGGGAGAACAAAUGUGUAAGUAACUGUGCACGUCUUGACGGUACCUGAUCAGAAAGCCACGGCUAACUACGUG
Molecule: ribosomal RNA, 497 nt
Filed under: uncultured bacterium
Lineage: Bacteria
Description: partial 16S ribosomal RNA
Rfam family: Bacterial small subunit ribosomal RNA
Source: RNAcentral